GCGGCAGAAGCACAUGCAAGGUCACAAGCCUUAGUGUUAGGAAGAUCUAUGGGGUUAAAGAUUUACAAAUAAUGGGAGAUUCGAAAACGAUUAUCAAAAAGUGCCAAAGUUCAGAACAAGACAGAUCGGUCAUUGGAGCAAUCAUCAAAGGUAUUCAAGAGAUUAAAACCAAUUUUAAUAGUAUCUGUUUUUGUUAUAUUCCGAGAACUGAUAAUAUUUUUGCCCAUUUGGUUGCAAUAGAAGCUUUAAAGAAGGGAGAAGAACAUUACCUAACUGGGGCGAUUCCAAAUACCAUCCGACAAGCAGCGGAGAGGAUGAAUCCUAGAUAUUAAGAUUAAGAGCAAAGAGGUGACUGUUGGAAGGAGUAGCAAACGGCAAAAAGAUUUGG
This 388-nucleotide long non-coding RNA is filed under the name Gossypium barbadense (sea-island cotton). Its description in RNAcentral is "long non-coding RNA (GBAR_LNC015144)". Lineage: Eukaryota; Viridiplantae; Streptophyta; Magnoliopsida; Malvales; Malvaceae. The record is from RNAcentral.